GGAUUAGAUACCCUGGUAGUCCUAGCUGUAAACGAUGGAUACUAGACGUAGGAACUGGAUUGACGGUUUCUGUGUCGUAGCUAACGCGUUAAGUAUCCCGCCUGGGGAGUACGGUCGCAAGACUAAACUCAAAGGAAUUGACGGGACCCCGCACAAGCGGCGGAGCAUGCGGCUUAAUUCGAUGAUACGCGAGGAACCUUACCAGGGUUUAAAUGUAGAAUGACCGGGGUGGAAACACCCCUUUCUUCGGACAGACUACAAGGUGCUGCAUGGUUGUCGUCAGCUCGUGUCG
RNAcentral lists this ribosomal RNA (292 nucleotides) under uncultured bacterium. RNAcentral describes it as "partial 16S ribosomal RNA". It matches the Rfam family "Bacterial small subunit ribosomal RNA", at positions 775 to 1067 of the family's 1533-position model. The record is from RNAcentral.